GGGACUCUCUCUCUCCUUUCACCUCCCCGGUCUCUCGCAAAUGCUCGCACAGAAUCGGAGUUACAGCUGGAUGUGGAAAAAAUAACUGAGUUGUUUGGUGGUGCUAUAAUGCGGAGCUACAACAGUGGGCAGCUAUCCACCGGUGUAUGACAGAAAGGACAUGCCGCGACCGCAGAUCGACCGGUGUUUGCUAACGCGGAGGUCAAUCGUGGAUCAGGGAAAGCGAAGGCAGGAGCGUGAGGUGAACUGAAUUUCAGUAUCAGCUGAUGUCGAUGUGGAAAAAAUAACUGAGUUGUUUGGUGGUGGAGCUACAACAGAGGGCAGCUAUCCACCGGUGUGUGACAGAAAGGACAUGCCGCGAAGGAGACAUAUGAGGCGGUGAGGCUACCGCCGAUCGACCGGUGUUUGCUAACGCGGAGGUCAAUCGUGGAUCAGGGAAACCAAGGCAGGAGCGUGAGGUGAACUGAAUUUCAGGUAAGAAUGAAAGAGAUCUUUGGUUUUGCCUUUGCUGACUGCUGAUCUGAUCGUCUCAAGUCUGGUGACCUGCUGCAGAAGAUCCUCUCUCUCUAUCAUUAUAAGCAAUUCUGUCUAUCCUAUCACUCUCCCGACUCUAUCUAAUUUGACAGCCAUUCUAUCUUGUAUCCCUCUAUCCUCUACUGCUCUAUCUAAUUUGACAGCCAUUCUAUCUUGUAUCCCUCUAUCCCUACUGCUCUAUCUAAUUUGACAGCCAUUCUAUCUUGUAUCCCUCUAUCCCAAGCGCUCUAUCUAAUUUCAGAAUCCAAGUUUUCAGAAAUCCAAGUUUUCAGAUUCCAAGUUUUCAGAAAUCCAAGUACCAGUACUUGAUCUAUCUGUUACAGAAUUCUG
Molecule: long non-coding RNA, 864 nt
Organism: Oreochromis aureus
Lineage: Eukaryota; Metazoa; Chordata; Actinopteri; Cichliformes; Cichlidae
Source: Ensembl